This 463-nucleotide ribosomal RNA is filed under the name uncultured bacterium. RNAcentral describes it as "bacterial SSU rRNA". It matches the Rfam family "Bacterial small subunit ribosomal RNA", at positions 355 to 833 of the family's 1533-position model. The record is from RNAcentral.
UGGGGAAUCUUGGACAAUGGGGGCAACCCUGAUCCAGCCAUGCCGCGUGAGUGAUGAAGGCCUUAGGGUCGUAAAGCUCUUUCGCCUGUGAAGAUAAUGACGGUAGCAGGUAAAGAAACCCCGGCUAACUCCGUGCCAGCAGCCGCGGUAAUACGGAGGGGGUUAGCGUUGUUCGGAAUUACUGGGCGUAAAGCGCACGUAGGCGGACCAGAAAGUUGGGGGUGAAAUCCCGGGGGCUCAACCCCGGAACUGCCUCCAAAACUAUUGGUCUAGAGUUCGAGAGAGGUGAGUGGAAUUCCAAGUGUAGAGGUGAAAUUCGUAGAUAUUUGGAGGAACACCAGUGGCGAAGGCGGCUCACUGGCUCGAUACUGACGCUGAGGUGCGAAAGUGUGGGGAGCAAACAGGAUUAGAUACCCUGGUAGUCCACGCUGUAAAACGAUGGGUACUCGGUGGUGCGGGUGUC